GAUGAACGCUGGCGGCGUGCCUAAUACAUGCAAGUCGAACGCUGGAAAUCUAGCUUGCUAGCUUGAAGGAGUGGCGAACGGGUGAGUAAUACAUAAGCAACCUACCCACGAAGACUGGGAUAAUCUCUGGAAACGGGGACUAAUACCGGAUAGGUAAUCGGAAGGCAUCUUCUGAUUAUUAAAGGUUAAAAACACUGGUGGAUGGGCUUAUGGCGCAUUAGUUAGUUGGUGAGGUAACGGCCCACCAAGACGAUGAUGCGUAGCCGGCCUGAGAGGGUGAACGGCCACAUUGGGACUGAGACACGGCCCAGACUCCUACGGGAGGCAGCAGUAGGGAAUUUUCGGCAAUGGGGGAAACCCUGACCGAGCAACGCCGCGUGAGUGAUGACGGCCUUCCGGUUGUAAAGCUCUGUUGUAAGGGAAGAACGGUAGAUAGAGAAUAUCUAAAUGACGGUACCUUACCAGAAAGCCACGGCUAACUACGUG
Molecule: ribosomal RNA, 486 nt
Filed under: uncultured bacterium
Lineage: Bacteria
Description: partial 16S ribosomal RNA
Rfam family: Bacterial small subunit ribosomal RNA
Source: RNAcentral